RNAcentral lists this ribosomal RNA (408 nucleotides) under uncultured bacterium. Its description in RNAcentral is "bacterial SSU rRNA". It matches the Rfam family "Bacterial small subunit ribosomal RNA", at positions 28 to 417 of the family's 1533-position model. The record is from RNAcentral.
GAUGAACGCUGGCGGCGUGCUUAACACAUGCAAGUCGAACGAAGCACUUAUCUUUGAUUCUUCGGAUGAAGAGGUUUGUGACUGAGUGGCGGACGGGUGAGUAACGCGUGGGUAACCUGCCUCAUACAGGGGGGAUAACAGUUAGAAAUGACUGCUAAUACCGCAUAAGACCACGGAGCCGCAUGGCUCAGUGGGAAAAACUCCGGUGGUAUGAGAUGGACCCGCGUCUGAUUAGGUAGUUGGUGGGGUAACGGCCUACCAAGCCAACGAUCAGUAGCCGACCUGAGAGGGUGACCGGCCACAUUGGGACUGAGACACGGCCCAAACUCCUACGGGAGGCAGCAGUGGGAAUAUUGGGACAAUGGGGGCAACCCUGAUCCAGCCAUGCCGCGUGCAGGAUGAAGGCCU